RNAcentral lists this ribosomal RNA (974 nucleotides) under Acinetobacter tjernbergiae. RNAcentral's name for it is "bacterial SSU rRNA". It matches the Rfam family "Bacterial small subunit ribosomal RNA", at positions 51 to 1018 of the family's 1533-position model. Lineage: Bacteria; Pseudomonadati; Pseudomonadota; Gammaproteobacteria; Moraxellales; Moraxellaceae. The record is from RNAcentral.
ACACAUGCAAGUCGAGCGGAGAUGAGGUGCUUGCACCUUAUCUUAGCGGCGGACGGGUGAGUAAUGCUUAGGAAUCUGCCUAUUAGUGGGGGACAACAUUCCGAAAGGAAUGCUAAUACCGCAUACGCCCUACGGGGGAAAGCAGGGGAUCUUCGGACCUUGCGCUAAUAGAUGAGCCUAAGUCGGAUUAGCUAGUUGGUGGGGUAAAGGCCUACCAAGGCGACGAUCUGUAGCGGGUCUGAGAGGAUGAUCCGCCACACUGGGACUGAGACACGGCCCAGACUCCUACGGGAGGCAGCAGUGGGGAAUAUUGGACAAUGGGCGGAAGCCUGAUCCAGCCAUGCCGCGUGUGUGAAGAAGGCCUUUUGGUUGUAAAGCACUUUAAGCGAGGAGGAGGCUACUUAGAUUAAUACUCUAGGAUAGUGGACGUUACUCGCAGAAUAAGCACCGGCUAACUCUGUGCCAGCAGCCGCGGUAAUACAGAGGGUGCGAGCGUUAAUCGGAUUUACUGGGCGUAAAGCGUGCGUAGGCGGCUGAUUAAGUCGGAUGUGAAAUCCCUGAGCUUAACUUAGGAAUUGCAUUCGAUACUGGUCAGCUAGAGUAUGGGAGAGGAUGGUAGAAUUCCAGGUGUAGCGGUGAAAUGCGUAGAGAUCUGGAGGAAUACCGAUGGCGAAGGCAGCCAUCUGGCCUAAUACUGACGCUGAGGUACGAAAGCAUGGGGAGCAAACAGGAUUAGAUACCCUGGUAGUCCAUGCCGUAAACGAUGUCUACUAGCCGUUGGGGCCUUUGAGGCUUUAGUGGCGCAGCUAACGCGAUAAGUAGACCGCCUGGGGAGUACGGUCGCAAGACUAAAACUCAAAUGAAUUGACGGGGGCCCGCACAAGCGGUGGAGCAUGUGGUUUAAUUCGAUGCAACGCGAAGAACCUUACCUGGGCCUUGACAUAGUAAGAACUUUCCAGAGAUGGAUUGGUGCC